CCUACGGGAGGCAGCAGUCGAGAAUCAUUCACAAUGGGGGAAACCCUGAUGGUGCGACGCCGCGUGGGGGAAUGAAGGUCUUCGGAUUGUAAACCCCUGUCAUGUGGGAGCAAAUUAAAAAGAUAGUACCACAAGAGGAAGAGACGGCUAACUCUGUGCCAGCAGCCGCGGGAAUACAGAGGUCUCAAGCGUUGUUCGGAAUCACUUGGCGUAAAGCGUGCGUAGGCUGUUUCGUAAGUCGUGUGUGAAAGGCGCGGGCUCAACCCGCGGACGGCACAUGAUACUGCGAGACUAGAGUAAUGGAGGGGGAACCGGAAUUCUCGGUGUAGCAGUGAAAUGCGUAGAUAUCGAGAGGAACACUCGUGGCGAAGGCGGGUUCCUGGACAUUAACUGACGUUGAGGCUCGAAAGCGUGGGGAGCAAACAGGAUUAGAUACCCGAGUAGUC
Molecule: ribosomal RNA, 446 nt
Filed under: uncultured bacterium
Lineage: Bacteria
Description: partial 16S ribosomal RNA
Rfam family: Bacterial small subunit ribosomal RNA
Source: RNAcentral